GGUUGCGAUCAUACCAGCACUAAUGCACCGGAUCCCAUCAGAACUCCGUAGUUAAGCGUGCUUGGGCGAGAGUAGUACUAGGAUGGGUGACCCCCUGGGAAGUCCUCGUGUUGCACCCC
RNAcentral lists this ribosomal RNA (119 nucleotides) under Helianthus annuus (common sunflower). The record is from RNAcentral. Lineage: Eukaryota; Viridiplantae; Streptophyta; Magnoliopsida; Asterales; Asteraceae.